This 965-nucleotide ribosomal RNA is filed under the name Thalassobacillus devorans. RNAcentral's name for it is "bacterial SSU rRNA". It matches the Rfam family "Bacterial small subunit ribosomal RNA", at positions 40 to 971 of the family's 1533-position model. Lineage: Bacteria; Bacillati; Bacillota; Bacilli; Caryophanales; Bacillaceae. The record is from RNAcentral.
CAGGGGGUGCUAUACAUGCAGUCGAGCGCAGGAAGCAAGCUGAUCCCCUUCGGGGGUGACGCUUGUGGAAUGAGCGGCGGACGGGUGAGUAACACGUGGGCAACCUGCCUGUAAGACUGGGAUAACCCCGGGAAACCGGGGCUAAUACCGGGUAAUACCUGACUCCGCAUGGAGUCGGGUUGAAAGAUGGCUUCUUGCUAUCACUUACAGAUGGGCCCGCGGCGCAUUAGCUAGUUGGUGAGGUAACGGCUCACCAAGGCAACGAUGCGUAGCCGACCUGAGAGGGUGAUCGGCCACACUGGGACUGAGACACGGCCCAGACUCCUACGGGAGGCAGCAGUAGGGAAUCUUCCGCAAUGGACGAAAGUCUGACGGAGCAACGCCGCGUGAACGAUGAAGGUCUUCGGAUCGUAAAGUUCUGUUGUCAGGGAAGAACAAGUACCGUGCGAAUAGAGCGGUACCUUGACGGUACCUGACCAGAAAGCCACGGCUAACUACGUGCCAGCAGCCGCGGUAAUACGUAGGUGGCAAGCGUUGUCCGGAAUUAUUGGGCGUAAAGCGCGCGCAGGCGGUUUCUUAAGUCUGAUGUGAAAGCCCCCGGCUCAACCGGGGAGGGUCAUUGGAAACUGGGGAACUUGAGUACAGAAGAGGAGAGUGGAAUUCCACGUGUAGCGGUGAAAUGCGUAGAUAUGUGGAGGAACACCAGUGGCGAAGGCGACUCUCUGGUCUGUAACUGACGCUGAGGCGCGAAAGCGUGGGGAGCGAACAGGAUUAGAUACCCUGGUAGUCCACGCCGUAAACGAUGAGUGCUAGGUGUUAGGGGGCUUCCACCCCUUAGUGCUGAAGUUAACGCAUUAAGCACUCCGCCUGGGGAGUACGGCCGCAAGGCUGAAACUCAAAGGAAUUGACGGGGCCCGCACAAGCGGUGGAGCAUGUGGUUUAAUUCGAAGCAACGCGAAGAACCU